UACGGAGGGAGCUAGCGUUGUUCGGAAUUACUGGGCGUAAAGCGCACGUAGGCGGCUUUGUAAGUUAGAGGUGAAAGCCCGGAGCUCAACUCCGGAACUGCCUUUUAGACUGCAUCGCUUGAAUCCAGGAGAGGUGAGUGGAAUUCCGAGUGUAGAGGUGAAAUUCGUAGAUAUUCGGAAGAACACCAGUGGCGAAGGCGGCUCACUGGACUGGUAUUGACGCUGAGGUGCGAAAGCGUGGGGAGCGAACAGG
This 253-nucleotide ribosomal RNA is filed under the name uncultured bacterium. RNAcentral describes it as "partial 16S ribosomal RNA". It matches the Rfam family "Bacterial small subunit ribosomal RNA", at positions 524 to 776 of the family's 1533-position model. The record is from RNAcentral.